This 22-nucleotide microRNA is filed under the name Mus musculus (house mouse). RNAcentral's name for it is "mmu-miR-374b-3p". Its record names the gene mmu-miR-374b-3p. Lineage: Eukaryota; Metazoa; Chordata; Mammalia; Rodentia; Muridae. The record is from miRBase by way of RNAcentral.
GGUUGUAUUAUCAUUGUCCGAG